GGCGAACGGGUGAGUAACACGUGAGUAACCUGCCCUUGACUUUGGGAUAACUUCAGGAAACUGGGGCUAAUACCGGAUAGGAGCUCCUGCUGCAUGGUGGGGGUUGGAAAGUUUCGGCGGUUGGGGAUGGACUCGCGGCUUAUCAGCUUGUUGGUGGGGUAGUGGCUUACCAAGGCUUUGACGGGUAGCCGGCCUGAGAGGGUGACCGGCCACAUUGGGACUGAGUCACGGCCCAG
RNAcentral lists this ribosomal RNA (236 nucleotides) under uncultured Actinomycetales bacterium. RNAcentral's name for it is "partial 16S ribosomal RNA". It matches the Rfam family "Bacterial small subunit ribosomal RNA", at positions 97 to 334 of the family's 1533-position model. The record is from RNAcentral. Lineage: Bacteria; Bacillati; Actinomycetota; Actinomycetes; Actinomycetales.